Non-coding RNA from Equus caballus (horse), 2560 nucleotides. The record is from RefSeq and is a predicted model, not a curated record. NCBI's taxonomy places the organism in Eukaryota, Metazoa, Chordata, Mammalia, Perissodactyla, Equidae.
GGCGGGCCUGAAAGGAGAAGCACAAAACAGGAAGGCAGCGGCGUCACUUGCUGCUGGGAUCCAGCUUCCACACACUAAACGUGUGACAGUUAGGACCCUACUCGUCAGGACGCUGACUGCCCUUGUUCACGGCUGACUAGCAACGUGGUGGGGCAAUCGCGGCCGCAACAGAGGCGAGCGAGCCUGCGAGUCCACGACUCCCAGAGCCAGGGCCAGGCGCACCCCUAGAGGAUGCGGUGUCCCCAUGAGCUGGAGCAGAUCAACUCAGCCAAGGAGGAGGACCCACAGUGAAUCACUUCACAUCUGUGAACAAACUUUAAGUUUCGAAUGUAGGAGCACUUGAAACCGGUUCUGGCACGAGCAUGAGUUUGUGCACGAGCAUGAGUGUGUGCAUGAGCAGGUCCGUCUGCCAGAGAAGGGCUCCUGCGUCUUCUUUAGGCCACACGGUGGGUCACAGCCAGAGCCUACAAGACCCUCUAGAGGCCUGUCUCUGGUUUCCUUCCCCUUUAAAACAGAUCAGAAAGUUAAUGCCCUCUGAUGGUUGAAAACAUAUGUACCGCGAAGGGUGGAGCCCCUGAUGGGACCCGCUUUGGAGCGUCUGCCCUUGUUCCUGGGGCAGGGCUCCUGGAACACACAUUUGUACUCCAGGAGAAGGUGUCCCCACCAAGAGGUGACGGGCAGAGGCCCUCACUGAGCUGGUUCAGUAAUCCUCUUCCUCCCAGGAAUCUGGGGGUUGCUGAACAAGACGCCUAAAGCUGAAGGCUGGAGCAGUGGUGCCCAAGUUCUGCUGUUCGGGCCAGAGAAGGAGAAGAAUAAUAUUUAAGAAGAGAGAACAGUGAAGCUGAAACGCACAGAGCUGCAGAGCUGGGAGGAGAGAAGCAUCCUGACGCCUUCUGAUUUCUUGGUUACAGUCCUUCCUGAGGUCUGACCGCAUCCUCCCUCUGGAUUCUGGAAACAUUUUUGCAUUCCUAUAAAAGGCUACUCACCAGGCACAUAAUCUAUAAGGAGUGUUGAAACACCGCUGGAAAUGUCAUAGGAUGGAGAAUAUUGUGACACCCGAAGUGUCUAGAAUUACACACAGUUGGAAGCAAUACUUUGAGUGGCCAGUAGGGGGAGACUCCAUCAAAGGGUUUCCUUAGUACUGUCGCACCAAACGUGUAGAGGAUUUAUAAGGGGUGGGGAGGGUGUCCUCUUCACUGCAGGGCUUUCGUUUUCCCCACUGGGUGUGCAUCUUUGGGGCCAAAAGCUGAGUUGCUCUGGACAACAGGGCAGAGACUGAGCACUCCUCAGCCAUCUCCCUAUGCACAGAUCAGAUUUUCUACAGAAAAAGUUUGAGGAUGCAAAGAACAAAGAAUAUAUUUAAAAGGAUACCAAAUUGUUAGGCACCGAUGUAGAGUGGUCCUGUCUUAUUAAUAAAUCUCUGGCCCUCUUUGCAUAAAUCAUUCCAAGUUGAUUUCUGUCAUUUCCUGCCCAAAGGACCUUAACUAAUACAGUCCCUUCUUCUGUUUUCUUCUGUUUCGAUAGAAGGUGGAGCCAAUGGGAAGUCAGAAGGAACCACUGAGUUUCCUAAAUAUGAAAGAUGAGGUGGCUUAGGGAGCUAGAGACCAUCAUAGAAGCUGAAGCCCAAGACAGCUCAGACUGGUCAUUGAGGACCUAGUAAAAGACACGAGUUUCUGGCUCCAGUCCCACCUCCAACAGGCCCUGUCGCCAUCAGCCAGAUGGAACCACUGACUCUGUGGGGCCGCAGAUUCCAAUCCUGGCUGGUUAUCAGGAGCAAGCGAGCAGCUCUAAGAAGAUGUAGAUCGCCAGGCUCCGCUCCCGAAGAUUCAAGAGGAGGCCAGGUGAUAACCUGGUGAGAAGGCAGCCGUCUACGAGCCAGAGAGAGAGAAGUCUCACCAAACCAACACCGCCAGCACCUGACCUGGGACUUCUAGCCUCAGAACUAUUUAAAACCCUUGUUCUGCGAAGGGAUCCACAGGCUUUGCCCAACCAGAAGUGAGGUCCAUGGCACAGAAGCGUGCAGGACCCCGACGCAGAGGGAUCCAGGUUGGACGACCUCCAUUGUCUCCUCCAGGUAUGAAAGUGUGACUCCGUUUAUCCUAGGGAUCUGCAAAGGCUUGAGAAUAUUUGGUAAACAAGGCUGCUGAUAGAUCUCCCAACGUGGGUUCUCUCCACUUUGUGAGAAUCAAGAGUCGACACAGAGCAGUUUUCUUGGACCGAGUUCCCUGGUCAUUGUCGUGUCGGUCUGCUGCCUCCAGAGGGAUGGUGACCGCACAGAUCUUCCUCUGAAGAACGCAGUGGGUACAGCAGACAUGGGGUCAGGCACCUGCAGCGUCCACGCCCUUCUAAGAACACGCUCCAAAGCAUCUCUUUUGUUUCCCAGUGUGACUUGCCUGCCGCCCUCUUCCAGGACGCAGGUAAUGGACCGAGCGUGGACACCGCACAGAGGCCGAGCCGUGCAGUGAGAAGUGUGCCUCCAUCUUCUCCUCAGUGAAAAGGGGUGAUAACAGUGUCUGCCUCACAGGCCUGUGCUCAAUAAAUGCUACUAUUAUUUGUUAGA